Macaca fascicularis (crab-eating macaque) is the source of this 156-nucleotide unclassified non-coding RNA. It matches the Rfam family "Metazoan signal recognition particle RNA". From Rfam's summary of the family: The signal recognition particle (SRP) is a universally conserved ribonucleoprotein. It is involved in the co-translational targeting of proteins to membranes. The record is from Ensembl. Lineage: Eukaryota; Metazoa; Chordata; Mammalia; Primates; Cercopithecidae.
UGCCAACCAGGUGUCCACACUAAGUUAGGCACCACUAUGGUGACCUCCUGGGAGCAGGGGACCACCAGGUUGCCUAAGGAUGGUGAACUGGUCCAGCUCAGAAAUGCAGCAGGUCAGAACUCCCGUGCCUAUUGGUAGUGGGACUGCACCUGGGCA